This 200-nucleotide unclassified non-coding RNA is filed under the name Hypomyces sp. RNAcentral describes it as "partial internal transcribed spacer 2". The record is from RNAcentral. Lineage: Eukaryota; Fungi; Ascomycota; Sordariomycetes; Hypocreales; Hypocreaceae.
UUAAGUUCAGCGGGUAUUCCUACCUGAUCCGAGGUCAACCUUUCAGAAGUUGGGGGGGUUUAACGGCAUGGCCGCGCCGCUCUCCGGUGCGAGGUUUCAAAAGAGCUACUACGCAGGGGAGGCUGCGGCGGGACCGCCACUGUAUUUCGGGGGCGGCGACCCGCUGCUAGGCGGGGCCGGUCCCCAACACCGAGCCCCCG